UCCUCGCUCAUUCCUUGCUGUCUCUUUGCAAGGCAGCUCGAGUGCUGCCACAGAGAAACCAGCAGCUGUCCUGUGCCAGAGGUGUUUGUGUAACAACACACAAACACCUCUCACCACCUGCACAGGGAUGCGCUCAUGUCUGCUCCCUCCUGCUGCAGCAGCUUCUCAUGCAAAUGAGAUUUUUAGGAUUGGUAUAUCAACAUAAAACAGCAAGCAAGGCACAAUGUCUGAGAUAUCUCAUCAGCACAGGCAAACAAGCAGGCACAGUAAACCCCUCCCUGCUGUUUGCCCAAAAUACUUUGCUUGUAUCUCUGAAUAGAAUUCCUUGACGAUGCACUGCUGUGCAAUAUACCCUCCACUGCAGGAUCAACAGAUUCCUCUCUUCGUGCAGCCCUCCAACUCCAGAGGCGUUUCAAUAAAAACUGAACCACUGGCCGUGUUUUCCAAGGAAAGCAGGGUGUGAAGCCAUGAAUAAUGGAGCUGCUCAGUUUCCCCAGGAUAACAGUUCAUUUACAGUCUUUAUCCUGCUGCCUGUUAACUUUCAAUUGAAUAAGGGAGACACUGAUUUCA
Pezoporus flaviventris is the source of this 570-nucleotide long non-coding RNA. RefSeq lists it as uncharacterized. The transcript has 2 exons. NCBI's taxonomy places the organism in Eukaryota, Metazoa, Chordata, Aves, Psittaciformes, Psittacidae. The record is from RefSeq and is a predicted model, not a curated record.